AUGAAAUUAGUGUACAAAAUGAAGGGAAUUUUGUGUAGAUUCCAUAAAAUCAAGAAUCGUGUCGUUACGAAUUAUAGAGAAAAAGUUAUCACCUAUUUAGUGGAGACUAUACAAAGAAAUUCGAAUUUGUACACUUCCACAAUCUCUUUGCACACUCACCCACAAUUCUUGAAAUUUAAACCCUAUAUUCUCUUGAGAGCAUGA
Molecule: non-coding RNA, 204 nt
Organism: Vicia faba (fava bean)
Lineage: Eukaryota; Viridiplantae; Streptophyta; Magnoliopsida; Fabales; Fabaceae
Source: the annotation of a GenBank genome assembly